Molecule: ribosomal RNA, 326 nt
Filed under: uncultured eukaryote
Lineage: Eukaryota
Description: partial 18S ribosomal RNA
Rfam family: Eukaryotic small subunit ribosomal RNA
Source: RNAcentral
CCCUUAGAUGUUCUGGGCCGCACGCGCGCUACACUGAUGAAUUCAACGAGCACUAACCUGUGCCGAAAGGUUCGGGUAAUCUUGUGAAAUUUCAUCGUGAUGGGGAUUGAUUAUUGCAAUUUUUAAUCAUAAACGAGGAAUGCCUAGUAAGCGUGAGUCAUCAGCUCACGUUGAUUACGUCCCUGCUCUUUGUACACACCGCCCGUCGCUCCUACCGAUUGAAUGUGCCAGUGAAAAGUUAGGAUUGGGCGUGGGAGACGGCAACGUAUUCCACAUCCGAGAAAAUCUUUAAACUUUCCCAUUUAGAGGAAGGAGAAGUCGUAACG